GGAACAGACGGGGGCAUUAGUAUUGCGACGCUAGAGGUGAAAUUCUUGGACCGUCGCAAGACUAACUACUGCGAAAGCAUUUGCCAAGAAUGUUUUCAUUAAUCAAGAACGAAAGUUAGAGGAUCGAAGGCGAUCAGAUACCGCCCUAGUUCUAACCAUAAACGAUGCUAACUGGCGAUCCGUCGGCGUCAUUCCCACGACUCGGCGGGGAGCCCCCGGGAAACCAAAGUUUUUGAGUUCCGGGGGAAGUAUGGUUGCAAAGCUGAAACUUAAAGGAAUUGACGGAAGGGCACCACCAGGAGUGGAGCCUGCGGCUUAAUUUGACUCAACACGGGGAACCUCACCAGGCCCAGACACCGGAAGGAUUGACAGAUUGAGAGCUCUUUCUCGAUUCGGUGGGUGGUGGUGCAUGGCCGUUCUUAGUUGGUGGAGCGAUCUGUCUGGUUGAUUCCGAUAACGAACGAGACUCUAGCCUGCUAACUAGUCGGCGGAUCGUCUCCCGAGACGGGUUUCCUUCCGCGGGGGCUUAGGGCGAGGGUAGCUCACGGGGGGCUCGUCGUUUCUCUCGUUCUCGGCAACGCGGGGUAGGUCGAAGGUAGAUGACGGAAAAGACGAGGAGGGUGGCGAGAGUCGUUGGCGGUCGGUUGGGGGUGGUGGUGGUA
This 662-nucleotide ribosomal RNA is filed under the name Spherillo grossus. RNAcentral describes it as "bacterial SSU rRNA". It matches the Rfam family "Eukaryotic small subunit ribosomal RNA", at positions 875 to 1382 of the family's 1831-position model. Lineage: Eukaryota; Metazoa; Arthropoda; Malacostraca; Isopoda; Armadillidae. The record is from RNAcentral.